RNAcentral lists this transfer RNA (68 nucleotides) under Lamennaisia nobilis. RNAcentral's name for it is "tRNA-Gln". Lineage: Eukaryota; Metazoa; Arthropoda; Insecta; Hymenoptera; Encyrtidae. The record is from RNAcentral. RNAcentral also lists the same sequence under 1 other name.
UAUAUAUAAGUAUUAAAAAUACAUUAAUUUUUGAAAUUAAAAAUAAUAAUUAAAUUUAUUAUAUAUAU